Molecule: long non-coding RNA, 823 nt
Filed under: Homo sapiens (human)
Lineage: Eukaryota; Metazoa; Chordata; Mammalia; Primates; Hominidae
Description: non-protein coding lnc-RAI14-2:1
Source: RNAcentral
AAUGAAAGAAGUAGAUACUUUUGAAAGAAUCAAAAAAGAAUGGGCUUGGAAAACAGGAUCUGACAGCCAACCUAUAAGUGAUAAUCAAAAAUGAAUUGUGAAUAUUUUAUAAAUGGCCUUUAGAGGAAGCUCAGAAGAUGGGUGCUAGCUGCUUGUCACUCACAUAACAUGAUUGGUAAAUGUCAGUAUAAAAUUAUGAGAAGACGAAUUAUCAAUCACUAAUGACUUCAGACAUUAUUCUGAUGUUGCAAGUUAGAAAUUUCUGAAAUCUAUUAUAAAAGAGAUUUACUUUUUAAAACUACGGGAGAAUUUUUGAUAAAGAGAAUGUGGAUGCUAAAGUUGAAGAUAAAAAAAAUAAUGAAGUGUGUUUGUCUAUGAAGCCUGUAUUCCAGUCCUUCUUAGGAAGAAAUCACAGACUGGGAAGUGCCACGUGGAAAAUAUCUUUAAAGCAAAGAGUAGUGAAGAUGAGAAUAAAAAUGAUCUGUCUGUUGUCCCACUAAGCAAUCUGGAACCCAUCACUGCAUUACAGAUCUGGCUAGCCAACUGGAAAGGGAUCAUCCAGAAAGCAAAUACUUCUCACAGGCACUUAUAGGUAUACAUUUCUCUAAGCAUUGCUUGGGCUGCAUCCCGCAAGUUUUGGGUAAAGAACAUCAAAAACUUCACUGGAAAUUGCCAAGGGUCUCAAAAAACUCUUCCUUUUCCCUGGCACCAGGUCUUAUUUUACUCGAAUUGCAAGAGGAAAUAUUCACACUGGAAGAAGCAGGUUUACACAAUACUGUGAUCAGAGACUCUAAAGACACAAAUAUUUUACAUAACUCCCAUA